This 482-nucleotide ribosomal RNA is filed under the name uncultured bacterium. Its description in RNAcentral is "bacterial SSU rRNA". It matches the Rfam family "Bacterial small subunit ribosomal RNA", at positions 328 to 793 of the family's 1533-position model. The record is from RNAcentral.
UGACAGUACUCCUACGGGGAGGCAGCAGUGGGGGAAUAUUGCACAAUGGGCGCAAGCCUGAUGCAGCCAUGCCGCGUGUGUGAAGAAGGACCUUCGGGUUGUAAAGCACUUUCAGUCGUGAGGAAGGUGGUAGUGUUAAUAGCACUAUCAUUUGACGUUAGCGACAGAAGAAGCACCGGCUAACUCCGUGCCAGCAGCCGCGGUAAUACGGAGGGUGCGAGCGUUAAUCGGAAUUACUGGGCGUAAAGCGCAUGCAGGUGGUUUGUUAAGUCAGAUGUGAAAGACCCGGGGCUCAACCUCGGAAUAGCAUUUGAAACUAGGCAGACUAGAGUACUGUAGAGGGGGGUAGGAAUUUCAGGUGUAGCGGUGAAAUAGCGUAGAGAUCUGAAGGAAUACCGGUGGCGAAGGCGGCCCCCUCGGACAGAUACUGACACUCAGAUGCGAAAGCGUGGGGAGCAAACAGGAUUAGAUACCCCUGGUAG